CUGAGGAUCCUCUUAAGUAGUUUUUGCUCAGCUAGCAAAACAAGCUUGGACAUGCAAGGCAGAUAAACACAGCUGUUUGGGGCUGUCACUUGGGGUGCAAGAGCCAAGGUCUCCUGCUGCAGUGAAAAGUGCACCGGAAUAAGCUCUUGAGUUUAUGGAUGAAUCUAGAAACCAUCAUUCUCAGCAAACUGACACAAGAACAGAAACCAAAUAUCGCAUGUUUUCACUCAUAGGACUCAUAAUCUCAAUCCAACCAUGAGAUAAGCAUCAGAUAAAACCAAAUUGAGAGACAUUCUACAAAACACCUGACCAGUACCCCUCAAAACUGUCAUGGUCAUGAAAAACAAUCAAAGACUGAGAAACUGCCAGGAACCAGAGAAGACUGAACAAAUUUAAGGACCAAAGCUUAUCAAGAGGAGUGAAAAGGUCUGUAUCAGGCUGGGCACAGUGGCUCACGCCUGUAAGCCCAGCAAUUUGGGAGGCCACGGCAGGCAGAUCAUCUAAGGUCAGGAGUUCAAGACCAACCUGAUCAACAUGGUGAAACCCUGUCUCUACUAAAAAUUAGCCAGGUAUGGUGGCAGGUGCCUCUAGACCCAGCUACUCGAGAGGCUAAAGCAGGAGAGUUGCUUGAACCCAAAAGGAGGAGGCUGCAGUGAGCCGAGACUGCACCACUGCACUCCAGCCUGGCCGACAGACCAUCUCAAAAAAAAGAAAGGUCUAUAUCAAAAA
This is a non-coding RNA of Callithrix jacchus (white-tufted-ear marmoset), 729 nucleotides long. The record is from RefSeq and is a predicted model, not a curated record. NCBI's taxonomy places the organism in Eukaryota, Metazoa, Chordata, Mammalia, Primates, Cebidae.